This 860-nucleotide ribosomal RNA is filed under the name uncultured organism. RNAcentral describes it as "bacterial SSU rRNA". It matches the Rfam family "Bacterial small subunit ribosomal RNA", at positions 87 to 950 of the family's 1533-position model. The record is from RNAcentral.
GGCGACGACCGGCGGACGGGUGAGUAACGCGUAUGCAACCUACCUAUUGCAGGAAGAUAGCCCGAGGAAACUCGGAUUAAUAUUCCAUAAUAUCAUUUUUACACAUGUAUUAAUGAUUAAAGCUACGGCGGCAAUAGAUGGGCAUGCGUACCAUUAGCUAGUUGGUGAGGUAACGGCUCACCAAGGUUACGAUGGUUAGGGGGUCUUAAAGGAUGAUCCCCCACACUGGUACUGAGACACGGACCAGACUCCUACGGGAGGCAGCAGUGAGGAAUAUUGGGCAAUGGACGCAAGUCUGACCCAGCCAUGCCGCGUGCAGGAUGACUGCUCUAGUAGUUGUAAACUGCUUUUCUAUUUCAUGAACCCCUCUGACGUGUCAGGGGCUGACAGUAGAAUAGGAAUAAGCAUCGGCUAACUCCGCGCCAGCAGCCGCGGUAAUACGGAGGAUGCAAGCGUUAUCCGGAUUUACUAGGUUUAAAGGGUGCGUAGGCGGGGUAUCAAGUCAGUGGUGAAAUCCUGCAGCUCAACUGUAGAACUGCCAUUGAAACUGAUAUUCUUGAGUAUAGUUGAGGUAGGCGGAAUGUGUUAAGUAGCGGUGAAAUGCAUAGAGAUAACACAGAACACCGAUUGCGAAGGCAGCUUACUAAACUAUUACUGACGCUGAGGUACGAAAGCGUGGGGAGCGAACAGGAUUAGAUACCCUGGUAGUCCACGCCGUAAACGUUGAUCACUAGUUGUUUGCGAUACAUUGUGAGCGACUGAACAAAAGCAUUAAGUGAUCCACCUGGGGAGUACGUUGGCAACGAUGAAACUCAAAGGAAUGACGGGGGCCCGCACAAGCGGAGGACAUGUGUUAUGAU